This is a long non-coding RNA of Chenopodium quinoa (quinoa), 1932 nucleotides long. RefSeq lists it as uncharacterized. The transcript has 3 exons. The record is from RefSeq and is a predicted model, not a curated record. Lineage: Eukaryota; Viridiplantae; Streptophyta; Magnoliopsida; Caryophyllales; Amaranthaceae.
UUAAGAAAUAGAUGGUACAAAGUCUAAUUUUGCUUCUUUAUGCAAUUGAUUGCUCAUAACCCCAUAAUUAUCAUAAUAGCAAUUUGAUCUUAUCAUCCUUUUCUUAAUGCAAUAAGAAGACAAAUUCUACCUCUUCAAUUACCACCUUCACGGUUAAGAAAUGACUUGGGAUAAGGCCAAGUUUGUUUCAUCCAAUUCCUAUAAGAACCAAAUUAUAGUUAUCAAGUGACUUAGUUAAUCCUAUUUUCUUCCUCCUUCUCUUGCAAGUCUUAGCAACAAACAUACUACUUUCCAACCGUUAAAGAAAUACCGCAAUUACUGUCACCCCUCUUCUCCUACUACCGCCUGACCUCUAUCAUCAUCGGUCAACCGUCGCCGCCCCCCCGUGUGCGCUGCCUCCCCUGUACUGCCCAAAACCACCCAUCCAUUUCUUUCAUUUUGGGUGAUGCGUGCUAUGUUCUUGCCAAGUUAAAGAUUGGUCUUAUGAAAUGAAGCUCUUAAACUUGUUUAUUUAUACACCCAAAAGGAAUCGGACCUCGGAGCUCAGUUAGAACGAUAGAAUAAAGGCUAACAGGAAGAUUGUCAGACUGUAAAUCGAGGUACUGCUGGGGAUGAUGGAGACGAGUAGUAGAGAGGAUUUUUACUUUCAGUUAUCACUUAAUAGUAGUUAUAGUUUUAAGUUGUUUAAUUUGAAUAGUAAGACUAAGCUACUUAGUAAAGUUUGAGAUAAGAUAGGAUUUGCUAUUAUAAAAAAAAUAAGAAUAAUGUUUGUAAUAAAUAGAUUACUAUGUUUUAUAAAUCAAGUUUGUUAAUUAAGUAUGUUUGUUGCCUUGUAAAUCUCGUGAGGGAUUUACGGCAGUGGCGUCCCGACCGUGUUAGGUUAAUUCCGCUGCUAAGAUUAUCUUAAUAACUAAAUUAGAGGUCGGGGCGUUACAUUAUAGUAUAUGGAUAAAGAAGAAUUAAUGUCCCAAAUGAGUGUUUUUUCGUAAUAUAUAAAACGCUUAAUGUAUAAUUAAUUAAAGAAGUGUGUAUAAACCGAAAUCCCAAAAAAAAAAACAAAAAAAUUUAAAAAAGUAUUCGUUCUCAAAUAUAUUAAAUAUAAAAUAACAGAGGAUAUAAUAUAUAUACUACCUCCGCUUCAUAUUAGUUGCAACGUUGGAAUAUUUUUUAUCUCACAAAUUAUACCCCAAAGGUUCAACUAAUAUAAAACGGAGGUAGUGCACAUAUCAUGAAAUCUGACACAAUGUGAACACAAACUUAUCGAGAUAAAACAUAAAGUCUACACGAUACGAAAUUAAACCAACUACAAAUCGUUUAAAUAGAGUGGCCAAUAUGGAGCUAUAUUACAUUGUAUCUUACAAAAUUAACACGAGACAAAACACAAAUAUGACACGAAUUUUGCCAACCCUACUCAAAAGCAAAAUGUUUAAUUUUUUAAUAAUAAUAUUUUUAAGAUUUAGCAAACAACACAAAAUGAACACACGACCAAAUAUGAAAACGAUACUGAUUUUUGCUUGUCCUACUCUUAGUAAGAGUAAAACAUAAAUCAGACUCGUGAUCAAAGAAAUUAAGUUAUUUAAAAAGCCAAAAUUAAAAAAAAAAUAAAAAAAUUCAAACUUGUUGGAGUUAAAAAAAAAAUAAAAAAAAAUAAAAAAAAAUAAAAUCUGCAGCUUGCAAGUCAUCAACAAUUGGGACUUGAAUGGAAUUUUACAAAAACAAAACACUGUACAACUACCCUUUUCUAUCAAACCUUGUUUUCCCUUUUUAGAAUAGCAUAGAAAAAAAUAAUAAAAAAAUUAAAAAAAAAAAAAAAAACAAGUAAAUGUCGCAUCUUGCAAGUCAUCAACAAUUGGGACUUGAAUGGAAUUUUACAAAAACAAAAACACUGUACAACUACCCUUUUCUAUCAAACCUUGUUUUCUCUUUUUAGAA